AGGAUGAACGCUGGCGGCGUGCCUAACACAUGCAAGUCGAACGUCCUGUCUCGCAAGAGGCAGGGAGUGGCGGACGGGUGAGUACCACGUGGGUCAUCUACCGUGAGGUGAGGAAUACCGGCGAGAAAUCGCCGACAAGACCGCAUAGCCUCGGUGCAAGUCGAGCAAAGCUCUUUCGAGAGAGGGAGCGCCACACGAGGAGCCUGCGCCCGAUUAGCUAGCUGGUGGAGUAAUGGUUCACCAGGGCGACGAUCGGUAGCUGGUCUGAGAGGACGAUCAGCCACACUGGGAUUGAGAACGGCCCAGACUCCUACGGGGGGCAGCAGUGAGGAAUUUUCGUCAAUGGGGGCAACCCUGAACGAGCAACGCCGCGUGCAGGAAGAAGGUUUUCGGAUCGUAAACUGCUUUUCUCGGGGAAGAGAACGGACGGUACCCGAGGAAUCAGCCCCGGCUAACUACGUGCCAGCAGCCGCGGU
This 476-nucleotide ribosomal RNA is filed under the name uncultured bacterium. RNAcentral describes it as "SSU rRNA". It matches the Rfam family "Bacterial small subunit ribosomal RNA", at positions 26 to 521 of the family's 1533-position model. The record is from RNAcentral.